RNAcentral lists this long non-coding RNA (335 nucleotides) under Musa acuminata (dwarf banana). Its description in RNAcentral is "long non-coding RNA (MACU_LNC004213)". The record is from RNAcentral. Lineage: Eukaryota; Viridiplantae; Streptophyta; Magnoliopsida; Zingiberales; Musaceae.
UCUUCUUCGCCGGGGACCAGGCCGCGGCCGCGCUGCCGGAGGAGCAGGAGGCCGGCGGCCGGGUGGUGGAAGAGGAGGACUCUUUGUUCGCGGGCCUGGGGGAGCUGCCCGAGUACUCGGUGGUGCUCCGCCGGGGCCUGGCGUCCGCCUCGUGGGUGGGGACCACCGGGUGAGAGUGAGCCCCACCCCACCACAUCCCUUGGCAGCCAGGCCGGCCGUCGAUCCGAUCGAGGGGAGCCCCGUGCGCCGUACGAUUGGCUAAUCUUUCUCGGUAGUCGACGUCUCAAAACUGCCGUCUUCCCGAUAUUUUCUUCCUCCUCCCUUUCAUCCAUGGC